UCUUCUUUCUGAGUGAGAAUGAAUUUCCUUUCUAACAUUCAAUCAUUUUCAAAGACAAGUUUUUCUUUUCUUUGUUUCUGGUAUGUCUAAAUGAAUACUUUCUAAUAUUUUCCAUGAACUUGCAUUGAUGAUUAUUUGAAGAAAAAAAUAACAAGAAAAAAAAGAACAAGGUGACAAAGUUGUAAGAAAGAAAGGAGAUGAAACAAAGAGAGAGGGAGAAGAGAACGGGGAAUAAGGAAAAGGAGGAGAAGAGAGAGGCAGAAAGUUGUUACUGAAAACAAAACAAGGGGAAGAUGAAAGGAAAGAGACCAAAGAGCAGAGACAGAGGGGGAGAGAGAGAUAAAGAAAUGCGGUUUUGAACUAGACUCUGGUAUUCAGAAUGAUGAUACGUGCAAUCUGUGCUGCUGGAAAAGCUGAUGUGGCAAUGGAAUUUUACAAGGAAAUACUGGACACCGACAGAAGGCUGAGGUUAGAUAGAGGUUUUGCAUCUGGAAGCCUCUAUCGAACUUCAGUUAAUUUGAUUAUGAUGCAGCCCAAUUCAAGUUUUUGGAGGAGGAGCUGAGUGAAAAUGGCGGUUCCAUUGUUGAAGAAGGUGAUCGUGAAGAAGAGGGUCAAGCAGUUCAAGAGGCCCCAAAGCGACUGCAAGAUCUGCGUCAGGUUUUGCAGUUUUCUAAGGUUGAAUUGCUCCCAAAAGGCUUGGAGAUCUGGUUUCUUUCACAGAAG
Molecule: long non-coding RNA, 723 nt
Organism: Rosa chinensis
Lineage: Eukaryota; Viridiplantae; Streptophyta; Magnoliopsida; Rosales; Rosaceae
Exons: 5
Source: RefSeq, a predicted model, not a curated record